Molecule: ribosomal RNA, 750 nt
Filed under: uncultured Thermotoga sp.
Lineage: Bacteria; Thermotogati; Thermotogota; Thermotogae; Thermotogales; Thermotogaceae
Description: bacterial SSU rRNA
Rfam family: Bacterial small subunit ribosomal RNA
Source: RNAcentral
GGUGAACGCUGGCGGCGUGCCUAACACAUGCAAGUCGAGCGGGUACCCGCAAGGGUACCAGCGGCGCACGGGUGAGUAACACGUGGGUAAUCUACCCCUCGGAGGGGGAUAACUGGGGGAAACCCCGGCUAAUACCCCAUACGAUCCGGCAACGAAGGUUGCUGGGUGAAAGGGGCGUUUGCUCCGCCGAGGGAUGAGCCCGCGGCCCAUCAGGUAGUUGGUGGGGUAAUGGCCCACCAAGCCUACGACGGGUAGCCGGCCUGAGAGGGUGGUCGGCCACAAGGGCACUGAGACACGGGCCCUACUCCUACGGGAGGCAGCAGUGGGGAAUCUUGGACAAUGGGCGAAAGCCUGAUCCAGCGACGCCGCGUGGGGGAUGAAGCCCUUCGGGGUGUAAACCCCUGUUGCGAGGGAGGAAUAAGGCCUGGAGGAAAUGCCAGGCCGAUGACUGUACCUCGCGAGGAAGCCCCGGCUAACUACGUGCCAGCAGCCGCGGUAAUACGUAGGGGGCGAGCGUUACCCGGAUUCACUGGGCGUAAAGCGGGUGUAGGCGGCUCGGUAAGUCGGGUGUGAAAUCCCACAGCUCAACUGUGGAAUUGCGCCCGAAACUGCUGAGCUUGGGGCCGGUAGAGGGAGACGGAACUGCCGGUGUAGGGGUGAAAUCCGUAGAUAUCGGCAGGAACGCCGGUGGGGAAGCCGGUCUCCUGGGCCGCGCCCGACGCUGAGACCCGAAAGCUAGGGGAGCAAACC